RNAcentral lists this ribosomal RNA (496 nucleotides) under uncultured bacterium. RNAcentral's name for it is "bacterial SSU rRNA". It matches the Rfam family "Bacterial small subunit ribosomal RNA", at positions 8 to 518 of the family's 1533-position model. The record is from RNAcentral.
AGAGUUUGAUUAUGGCUCAGGAUGAACGCUGGCGGCGUGCUUAACACAUGCAAGUCGAACGAUUAAACCGGCUCCGGCCGGAAAUAGAGUGGCGAACGGGUGAGUAACACGUGACCAACCUGCCCCGCGCACCGGGACAGCCUCGCGAAAGCGGGAUUAAUACCGGAUACUCCGGCGGGGGCGCAUGCCCCCGCCGGGAAAGCUCCGGCGGCGCGGGAUGGGGGUCGCGGCCCAUCAGGUAGUGGGUCGGGUAGAGGCCGACCCCAGCCGACGACGGGUAGCCGGGUUGAGAGACCGACCGGCCACAUUGGGACUGAGAUACGGCCCAGACUCCUACGGGAGGCAGCAGUGGGGAAUAUUGCGCAAUGGGGGCAACCCUGACGCAAGCAACGCCGCGUGCGGGAUGAAGGCCUUCGGGUUGUAAACCGCUUUCAGCAGGGAGGAUAGUGACAGUACCUGCACAAGAAGCCCCGGCUAACUACGUGCCAGCCGCAGC